GAUGAACGCUAGCUACAGGCUUAACACGUGCAAGUCGAGGGGUAACGAGAGGAAAGCUUGCUUUCCUUGUCGACGACCGGCGCACGGGUGAGUAACGCGUAUCCAACCUGCCCCCAACUAGGGAAUAACCUUGCGAAAGUAAGACUAAUACCCUAUAAUUUCCUCAGAUGUCAUCUGACGAGGAAUAAAGAUUUAUCGGUUGUGGAUGGGGAUGCGUCUGAUUAGCUUGUUGGCGGGGUAACGGCCCACCAAGGCAACGAUCAGGAGGGGUUCUGAGAGGAAGGUCCCCCACAUUGGAACUGAGACACGGUCCAAACUCCUACGGGAGGCAGCAGUGAGGAAUAUUGGUCAAUGGGCGGAGGCCUGAACCAGCCAAGUAGCGUGCAGGAUGACGGCCCUAUGGGUUGUAAACUGCUUUUAUACAGGAAUAAAGUUAGCCACGUGUGGUUAUUUGUAGGUACUGUAUGAAUAAGGACCGGCUAAUUCCGUGCCAGCCGCCGCAGUAA
RNAcentral lists this ribosomal RNA (506 nucleotides) under uncultured bacterium. Its description in RNAcentral is "partial 16S ribosomal RNA". It matches the Rfam family "Bacterial small subunit ribosomal RNA", at positions 28 to 523 of the family's 1533-position model. The record is from RNAcentral.